GAAAUGCGAUAAGUAGUGUGAAUUGCUGAAUUCAGUGAAUCAUCGAAUCUUUGAACGCACAUUGCGCCCCUUGGUAUUCCAUGGGGCAUGCCUGUUCGAGCGUCAUUUGUACCCUCAAGCUCUGCUUGGUGUUGGGUGUUUGUCCCGUCUCCGCGCGUGGACUCGCCCCAAAGUGAUUGGCAGCCGGCGUACUGGUCCCGGAGCGCAGCACAUGUCGCGCAAACGAGUGCCUUGGUACGGCGGCGUCCAUAAGCCCCUCUCUCACGCUCUUGACCUCGGAUCAGGUAGGGAUACCCGCUGAACUUAAGC
RNAcentral lists this unclassified non-coding RNA (309 nucleotides) under plant metagenome. RNAcentral's name for it is "partial contains 5.8S ribosomal RNA, internal transcribed spacer 2, and large subunit ribosomal RNA". The stretch from base 1 to 105 matches the Rfam family "5.8S ribosomal RNA", at positions 50 to 154 of the family's 154-position model. The record is from RNAcentral.